Molecule: long non-coding RNA, 1749 nt
Organism: Dermacentor silvarum
Lineage: Eukaryota; Metazoa; Arthropoda; Arachnida; Ixodida; Ixodidae
Exons: 2
Source: RefSeq, a predicted model, not a curated record
GUCGUCCGCUACAUCGGUGGCUUUGUGGUUAGGGCAACCAGCAAGCAUCUUCACUGUGCGGAAUGCGCAGCAAUGCUCACCAAUGACACUGUGACUAGCUUGCUAACAUACAUAAAGGACAAUGGUGGUCUUACAGAACCAUCACGCUUUGUGCAUGCAGCAAUGUGUGCAGCAGAGACAGUGCUACGCCAAGGCAACACGACAGGAGACAACAUCCACAAGAUAACUCUUAGGGCCUUCCAACAAUUCGUUAAGCAAUAUGAAGUCAUGCUUCACAAUUGUACACACUACUCUGAAGACCCGCAGCAUGUGAUAAGCCUCACAAAAGUGCUGCAGAAAAAGUAUGUCACUCUCCGAAUGAAAGAAAUUGGUAGACGCCGCACUGAGCAGGAGCGCGGUCAUCAGGCACGUGCUCACAAAGCGUGUGCUAUUUGCUCACCAGUGAUUGACCUAGCAAGUCACCUUGAGUAGAAAGAUUCUACAUUUCACACAAAAAAAUCAUACAAUCUUUUUGUGACAAGACAGCUCCAGCAAAGACAGCAAGAGCUGCAGUUUUCCUGUUGUUCUGAUACUGAACUUUUGUGACGAGACAGCUCAUGCAAAGACAGCAAGAGUUGUUGCUGAUGUGUAGGUACGAUACCCGGCUUCUGUGAUGACACAGCUUCUGCGAAGACUGCAACAGAUGACUCUCUUGUGUAGUUACAGGGUCUGCAAGUGUUGUGACGAGACAGCUCGUGCAAAGACAGCAAGAGUUGUUGCUGUUGUGUAGGUACGAUACCUGGCUUCUGUGAUGACACAGCUUCUGCGAAGACUGCAACAGAUGACUCUUGUGUAGUUACAGGGUCUGCAAGUGUUGUGACGAGACAGCUCGUGCAAAGACAGCAAGAGUUGUUGCUGUUGUGUAGGUACGAUACCCGGCUUCUGUGAUGACACAGCUUCGGCGAAGACUGCAACAGAUGACUCUCUUGUGUAGUUACAGGGUCUGCAAGUGUUGUGACGAGACAGCUCGUGCAAAGACAGCAAGAGUUGUUGCUGUUGUGUAGGUACGAUACCCGGCUUCUGUGAUGACACAGCUUCUGCGAAGACAGCAAGAUUUGUUGCUUUUGUGUAGUUACAUGAUCUAUGACUUUUGUGAUGGGGCAUCUCUUGCAGAGAUUGCAACGGCCUUCACAUUUAGGCAGUUAUCAUACCAGGCUUCUGUGAUGAGGCAACUCCUGCAAAGACUGCAGAAGAGUUGUCACUUUUGUGUAGUUGCAUGACACUAACGUCAUGCAGUUGACCCAGUGGCUGCAGCAUGCGGCGAUUACAAAAAUUAUGGGGGGAGGGGCAAGAGAUGUUGAGCCCCACCACUCUCGCCUCCUCGUGGUUCCCCCUGGGAAACGCUGGGGCUUUGGCAAUGCCUUAACCCCAGUAGGCUAAAGAGAGUGGAGAGCAAUAGUUAAAUAGAUACUAGAGCCUUUAUGUUGUUGGGAUGCCACAUGGUGCAGGCAAGUACAAUUUCCAUGUAUAGAAAAUUUUAUAAUGCGAGAAAAAUGGUUUGUGCAAUAUACGCACUGUUCUAGAUGAAAAAAAGCGAAGUAUGAGGUUAUAUGGAUGAGGAGCUGCUUUAAGCAUUCUUGCAUGGCAAAGAAUUUUGAAUAAGUUACCACAUGAAUCUCAUGUAGUCCCAUUUACGGACACUGAACCGAGGCAGUCUAGCUGCUAGAGCCCCACAGCAAAUUUAAUAAAAGCAAAAGUAAUUAUACAUUA